Medicago truncatula (barrel medic) is the source of this 201-nucleotide microRNA precursor. It matches the Rfam family "MIR2619 microRNA precursor family". The record is from Rfam. NCBI's taxonomy places the organism in Eukaryota, Viridiplantae, Streptophyta, Magnoliopsida, Fabales, Fabaceae.
AAACAAAUCCCUAUGUACCGGAUCUUUGCCAGUUUUGACCCCCAAGGUCACUUUUGACUUAGUCUUCGCUGAUGUGGCAUCCAUAAUGGUUGACAUGUGGCACCUCACUAAAGGGAUGUGGGUGCCACGUCAGCGAAGACUAAGUCAAAAGUGGCCUUGGGGGCCAAAACUGGCAAAGAUCCAAUACAUAGGGGGUUGUUU